CCCACAGACUAGAAUGUGAAUGUGGUGAUAGUGACUGAGAUUCAUCUUUGUAAACAAGAGCAAAAAACUCCUUAGGGGGUGAUGAAACAAGAUAAAAAGAAUGAAGUCUCUGGAUAACAGUGUGGAACAGAACUGCCGGACGCUCAGGACUGCCAACUCAACCGCCUGCCAACCCAGACUCAGAUGAAGAAUAUCUACCAGACAAUGCAAAGAACAGCAAUGUUAUAAUAACCUGUUUCAGAAGCAUAUCCCAGACUUCAUCUAUUGGGUGCUGAACAGGCUAAAGGCUGGGCUGAACCACCCCCACAAGGAUGAAGACUCUGCUAUCUAAUCUGAAUCAAGCAAAAUAUUCCUCCCAAAUAAAGAUUAUCAACCAACUGGGCUUUUUUUUAAAGUGUUGUUAUCCACUCAUAACUCUAUUUGGAUUUUGUCUGCAUAGGUGGUUUGCAUAAUUUCUGUUCUUAUUCUUUUACUGAUAUACUGCUAUCCUAAGAAGAAGAUCAGUUUUAGUCAUUUUUCCAGAGAUAUCUGAAAAGAUGGUAAGCUCUGGAGGUUUUCAGUUCAUUCAUCACAGAGAAUACAUCAAAAUUACUACAUUAUUUU
Long non-coding RNA from Sus scrofa (pig), 603 nucleotides. RefSeq lists it as uncharacterized. The record is from RefSeq and is a predicted model, not a curated record. Lineage: Eukaryota; Metazoa; Chordata; Mammalia; Artiodactyla; Suidae.